Molecule: ribosomal RNA, 377 nt
Filed under: uncultured bacterium
Lineage: Bacteria
Description: bacterial SSU rRNA
Rfam family: Bacterial small subunit ribosomal RNA
Source: RNAcentral
AUACGUAGGUGGCGAGCGUUGUCCGGAAUUACUGGGUGUAAAGGGCGUGUAGGCGGGGAUGCAAGUCAGAUGUGAAAUACUAAGGCUUAACCUUGGGGCUGCAUCUGAAACUGUGUUUCUUGAGUGUCGGAGAGGAAAGCGGAAUUCCCAGUGUAGCGGUGAAAUGCGUAGAGAUUGGGAGGAACACCAGUGGCGAAGGCGGCUUUCUGGACGACAACUGACGCUGAGGCGCGAAAGCGUGGGGAGCAAACAGGAUUAGAUACCCUGGUAGUCCACGCCGUAAACGAUGGAUACUAGGUGUAGGAGGUAUCGACCCCUUCUGUGCCGGAGUUAACACAAUAAGUAUCCCACCUGGGGAGUACGGCCGCAAGGUUGAA